UGGGGAAUAUUGGACAAUGGGGGCAACCCUGAUCCAGCAAUGCCGCGUGUGUGAAGAAGGUCUUCGGAUUGUAAAGCACUUUCGACGGGGACGAUGAUGACGGUACCCGUAGAAGAAGCCCCGGCUAACUUCGUGCCAGCAGCCGCGGUAAUACGAAGGGGGCUAGCGUUGCUCGGAAUGACUGGGCGUAAAGGGCGUGUAGGCGGUUUGUACAGUCAGAUGUGAAAUCCCCGGGCUUAACCUGGGAGCUGCAUUUGAUACGUGCAGACUAGAGUGUGAGAGAGGGUUGUGGAAUUCCCAGUGUAGAGGUGAAAUUCGUAGAUA
RNAcentral lists this ribosomal RNA (324 nucleotides) under uncultured bacterium. RNAcentral's name for it is "partial 16S ribosomal RNA". It matches the Rfam family "Bacterial small subunit ribosomal RNA", at positions 355 to 696 of the family's 1533-position model. The record is from RNAcentral.